RNAcentral lists this ribosomal RNA (260 nucleotides) under uncultured prokaryote. Its description in RNAcentral is "partial 16S ribosomal RNA". It matches the Rfam family "Bacterial small subunit ribosomal RNA", at positions 524 to 782 of the family's 1533-position model. The record is from RNAcentral.
UACGUAGGGUGCGAGCGUUGUCCGGAAUUACUGGGCGUAAAGAGCUCGUAGGUGGUUUGUCACGUCGUCUGUGAAAUUCCGGGGCUUAACCUCGGGCGUGCAGGCGAUACGGGCAAUACUUGAGUGCUGUAGGGGAGACUGGAAUUCCUGGUGUAGCGGUGGAAUGCGCAGAUAUCAGGAGGAACACCGAUGGCGAAGGCAGGUCUCUGGGCAGUAACUGACGCUGAGGAGCGAAAGCAUGGGUAGCGAACAGGAUUAGA